Molecule: non-coding RNA, 85 nt
Organism: Mycena rebaudengoi
Lineage: Eukaryota; Fungi; Basidiomycota; Agaricomycetes; Agaricales; Mycenaceae
Source: the annotation of a GenBank genome assembly
GGCAGAAUAGCUCAGUUGGAUAGCUUCGGCUCAGAGCAUCUCACAUGAUUAGAGAAGGUCCCGGGUUCAAUCCCCGGUUCAGCCA